This 2057-nucleotide ribosomal RNA is filed under the name Salmonella enterica subsp. enterica serovar Typhimurium. RNAcentral's name for it is "bacterial LSU rRNA". It matches the Rfam family "Bacterial large subunit ribosomal RNA", at positions 972 to 2925 of the family's 2925-position model. The record is from RNAcentral. Lineage: Bacteria; Pseudomonadati; Pseudomonadota; Gammaproteobacteria; Enterobacterales; Enterobacteriaceae.
UUAUCACGGGAGACACACGGCGGGUGCUAACGUCCGUCGUGAAGAGGGAAACAACCCAGACCGCCAGCUAAGGUCCCAAAGUCAUGGUUAAGUGGGAAACGAUGUGGGAAGGCCCAGACAGCCAGGAUGUUGGCUUAGAAGCAGCCAUCAUUUAAAGAAAGCGUAAUAGCUCACUGGUCGAGUCGGCCUGCGCGGAAGAUGUAACGGGGCUAAACCAUGCACCGAAGCUGCGGCAGCGAACGUAUCACUUAAAGCGAUUCAGCGGGUUACGAUUGACGGAGCGAAGCGACGUCAAAGCGUAUACAAAGUCGAGUCGGUUUAAGGAUACGUUCGUUGGGUAGGGGAGCGUUCUGUAAGCCCGUGAAGGUGGCCUGUGAGGGUUGCUGGAGGUAUCAGAAGUGCGAAUGCUGACAUAAGUAACGAUAAAGCGGGUGAAAAGCCCGCUCGCCGGAAGACCAAGGGUUCCUGUCCAACGUUAAUCGGGGCAGGGUGAGUCGACCCCUAAGGCGAGGCCGAAAGGCGUAGUCGAUGGGAAACGGGUUAAUAUUCCCGUACUUGGUGUUACUGCGAAGGGGGGACGGAGAAGGCUAUGUUGGCCGGGCGACGGUUGUCCCGGUUUAAGCGUGUAGGUGUGUGUUCCAGGUAAAUCCGGUUCACUUUAACACUGAGGCGUGACGACGAGGCACUACGGUGCUGAAGCAACAAAUGCCCUGCUUCCAGGAAAAGCCUCUAAGCAUCAGGUAACAUCAAAUCGUACCCCAAACCGACACAGGUGGUCAGGUAGAGAAUACCAAGGCGCUUGAGAGAACUCGGGUGAAGGAACUAGGCAAAAUGGUGCCGUAACUUCGGGAGAAGGCACGCUGACACGUAGGUGAAGUGAUUUACUCAUGGAGCUGAAGUCAGUCGAAGAUACCAGCUGGCUGCAACUGUUUAUUAAAAACACAGCACUGUGCAAACACGAAAGUGGACGUAUACGGUGUGACGCCUGCCCGGUGCCGGAAGGUUAAUUGAUGGGGUCAGCGUAAGCGAAGCUCCUGAUCGAAGCCCCGGUAAACGGCGGCCGUAACUAUAACGGUCCUAAGGUAGCGAAAUUCCUUGUCGGGUAAGUUCCGACCUGCACGAAUGGCGUAAUGAUGGCCAGGCUGUCUCCACCCGAGACUCAGUGAAAUUGAACUCGCUGUGAAGAUGCAGUGUACCCGCGGCAAGACGGAAAGACCCCGUGAACCUUUACUAUAGCUUGACACUGAACAUUGAGCCUUGAUGUGUAGGAUAGGUGGGAGGCUUUGAAGUGUGGACGCCAGUCUGCAUGGAGCCGACCUUGAAAUACCACCCUUUAAUGUUUGAUGUUCUAACGUGGACCCGUAAUCCGGGUUGCGGACAGUGUCUGGUGGGUAGUUUGACUGGGGCGGUCUCCUCCUAAAGAGUAACGGAGGAGCACGAAGGUUGGCUAAUCCUGGUCGGACAUCAGGAGGUUAGUGCAAUGGCAUAAGCCAGCUUGACUGCGAGCGUGACGGCGCGAGCAGGUGCGAAAGCAGGUCAUAGUGAUCCGGUGGUUCUGAAUGGAAGGGCCAUCGCUCAACGGAUAAAAGGUACUCCGGGGAUAACAGGCUGAUACCGCCCAAGAGUUCAUAUCGACGGCGGUGUUUGGCACCUCGAUGUCGGCUCAUCACAUCCUGGGGCUGAAGUAGGUCCCAAGGGUAUGGCUGUUCGCCAUUUAAAGUGGUACGCGAGCUGGGUUUAGAACGUCGUGAGACAGUUCGGUCCCUAUCUGCCGUGGGCGCUGGAGAACUGAGGGGGGCUGCUCCUAGUACGAGAGGACCGGAGUGGACGCAUCACUGGUGUUCGGGUUGUCAUGCCAAUGGCACUGCCCGGUAGCUAAAUGCGGAAGAGAUAAGUGCUGAAAGCAUCUAAGCACGAAACUUGCCCCGAGAUGAGUUCUCCCUGAGACUUAGAGUCUCCUGAAGGAACGUUGAAGACGACGACGUUGAUAGGCCGGGUGUGUAAGCGCAGCGAUGCGUUGAGCUAACCGGUACUAAUGAACCGUGAGGCUUAACCUU